GACGAACGCUGGCGGCGUGCUUAACACAUGCAAGUCGAACGGUGAAGCGCCUUCUUUUUUGGUGGGUGUGGAUGAGUGGCGAACGGGUGAGUAACACGUGAGUAACCUGCCCCCUUCUGCUGGAUAACCGCAUGAAAGUGUGGCUAAUACAGGAUAUUCUGCGUCUGUCGCAUGACGGGUCUGGGAAAGUUAUUGUUUCGGUGGGGGAUGGGCUCGCGGCCUAUCAGGUUGUUGGUGGGGUGAUGGCCGACCAAGGCGGGGACGGGUAGCCGGCCUGGGGGGGUGGACGGUCUGGGUGGGGAGGAGGCACAGCCACGACUGGGACGGGAGGCAGCAGAGGCGAAUACGGGACGCAGGGGGGGAGCAUGAUGCAGCGACGGCGCGUGCGUGAUGGAGGCCUGCGGGUUGAGAACUGCUGUCGUCAGUGAAGUAGGGCUGCCUUGUUUGUGGGGGGGUUGACGGUACCGGGAUAAGAAGCGCCGGCUAACUACGUG
This 494-nucleotide ribosomal RNA is filed under the name uncultured bacterium. RNAcentral's name for it is "partial 16S ribosomal RNA". It matches the Rfam family "Bacterial small subunit ribosomal RNA", at positions 28 to 507 of the family's 1533-position model. The record is from RNAcentral.